Molecule: non-coding RNA, 107 nt
Organism: Capsicum annuum
Lineage: Eukaryota; Viridiplantae; Streptophyta; Magnoliopsida; Solanales; Solanaceae
Source: Rfam
UGAUGAUGGUGAGAGCAAUUUCUAAGCAUACUUUUAAAUCUCUCCCAAGCUUGGUAGAGAUUCUCUCCUUCCUUUUAUCUCAAUCUCAGAAUCUCACUUCUCAAAUA